RNAcentral lists this ribosomal RNA (421 nucleotides) under Verrucomicrobiota bacterium. RNAcentral's name for it is "Verrucomicrobia bacterium partial 16S ribosomal RNA". It matches the Rfam family "Bacterial small subunit ribosomal RNA", at positions 355 to 776 of the family's 1533-position model. The record is from RNAcentral. Lineage: Bacteria; Pseudomonadati; Verrucomicrobiota.
UGGGGGAUAUUGCACAAUGGGCGAAAGCCUGAUGCAGCGACGCCGCGUGGGGGAUGAAGGCUUUCGGGUUGUAAACCUCUUUCGCUAUCGAACAAGGCUCACUAUAGGGUGGGUUGAGGGUAGGUGGAGAAGAAGCGCCGGCUAACUACGUGCCAGCAGCCGCGGUAAUACGUAGGGCGCGAGCGUUGUCCGGAAUUAUUGGGCGUAAAGGGCUUGUAGGCGGCUUGUUGCGCCUGCUGUGAAAACGCGGGGCUUAACUUCGCGCGUGCAGUGGGUACGGGCAGGCUUGAGUGUGGUAGGGGUGACUGGAAUUCCAGGUGUAGCGGUGGAAUGCGUAGAUAUCUGGAGGAACACCGAUGGCGAAGGCAGGUCACUGGGCCAUUACUGACGCUGAGGAGCGAAAGCAUGGGUAGCGAACAGG